GACAGAGGGGGCAAGCGUUGCUCGGAAUCACUGGGCGUAAAGGGCGCGUAGGUGGCCACCAUAAGGCCGCGGUGAAAGUUCGGGGCUCAACCCUGAAUCGGCCGCGGCGACUGUGGGGCUCGGGUACUGUAGAGGCAGGUGGAAUUCCGGGUGUAGCGGUGGAAUGCGUAGAGAUCCGGAAGAACACCAGUGGCGAAGGCGGCCUGCUGGGCAGUGGGACCGAAAGGUCUCUUCAACCGACACUGAGGCGCGACAGCGUGGGGAGCAAACAGG
RNAcentral lists this ribosomal RNA (273 nucleotides) under uncultured bacterium. RNAcentral describes it as "partial 16S ribosomal RNA". It matches the Rfam family "Bacterial small subunit ribosomal RNA", at positions 524 to 776 of the family's 1533-position model. The record is from RNAcentral.